GGUUGCAAUUAUACCAGCACUAAUGCACCGUAUCCCAUCAGAACUCCGAAGUUAAGCGUGCUUGGGCGAGAGUAGUACUAGGAUGGGUGACCCCCUGGGAAGUCCUCGUGUUGCAACCCC
This 120-nucleotide ribosomal RNA is filed under the name Helianthus annuus (common sunflower). Lineage: Eukaryota; Viridiplantae; Streptophyta; Magnoliopsida; Asterales; Asteraceae. The record is from RNAcentral.